RNAcentral lists this ribosomal RNA (393 nucleotides) under uncultured bacterium. Its description in RNAcentral is "partial 16S ribosomal RNA". It matches the Rfam family "Bacterial small subunit ribosomal RNA", at positions 523 to 918 of the family's 1533-position model. The record is from RNAcentral.
AUACGGAGGAUGCGAGCGUUAUCCGGAUUUAUUGGGUUUAAAGGGAGCGUAGGUGGGAUAUUAAGUCAGCUGUGAAAGUUUGGCGCUCAACCUUAAAAUUGCAGUUGAUACUGGUUUCCUUGAGUACGGUACAGGUGGGCGGAAUUCGUGGUGUAGCGGUGAAAUGCUUAGAUAUCACGAAGAACUCCGAUCGCGAAGGCAGCUCACCGGGCCGGAACUGACACUGAUGCUCGAAAGUGCGGGUAUCAAACAGGAUUAGAUACCCUGGUAGUCCGCACAGUAAACGAUGAAUACUCGCUGUUUGCGAUACACGGUAAGCGGCCAAGCGAAAGCGUUAAGUAUUCCACCUGGGGAGUACGCCGGCAACGGUGAAACUCAAAUGAAUUGGCGGGG